CCCAGGUUAGCUCAGUUGGUAGAGCGCUCCACUGGAAAUGGAGAGGUCCCUAGUUCCAUACCCGGAUCAGGCG
This 73-nucleotide transfer RNA is filed under the name Ixodes scapularis (black-legged tick). It matches the Rfam family "tRNA". From Rfam's summary of the family: Transfer RNA (tRNA) molecules are approximately 80 nucleotides in length. Their secondary structure includes four short double-helical elements and three loops (D, anti-codon, and T loops). The record is from Rfam by way of RNAcentral. Lineage: Eukaryota; Metazoa; Arthropoda; Arachnida; Ixodida; Ixodidae.